GUUGAUGUGUGUGGAGAGGUUGUCAGCAUAUUGUUGGAAGAUGGAGUUUGCUAAAACAUUCAUAGCUCAAGCAAUCCAGGUUGAUGUCAAUC
This is a long non-coding RNA of Ipomoea nil (Japanese morning glory), 92 nucleotides long. RefSeq lists it as uncharacterized. The record is from RefSeq and is a predicted model, not a curated record. The transcript has 3 exons. NCBI's taxonomy places the organism in Eukaryota, Viridiplantae, Streptophyta, Magnoliopsida, Solanales, Convolvulaceae.